AGUGAACGCUGGCGGUAGGCCUAACACAUGCAAGUCGAACGGCAGCACAGUAAGAGCUUGCUCUUACGGGUGGCGAGUGGCGGACGGGUGAGGAAUACAUCGGAAUCUACUUUUUCGUGGGGGAUAACGUAGGGAAACUUACGCUAAUACCGCAUACGACCUACGGGUGAAAGCAGGGGAUCUUCGGACCUUGCGCGAUUGAAUGAGCCGAUGUCGGAUUAGCUAGUUGGCGGGGUAAAGGCCCACCAAGGCGACGAUCCGUAGCUGGUCUGAGAGGAUGAUCGGCCACACUGGAACUGGGACACGGUCCAGGCUCCUACGGGAGGCAGCAGUGGGGAAUAUUGGACAAUGGUCGCAAACCUGAUCCAGCCAUACCGCGUCGGUGAAGAAGGCCUUCGGGUUGUAAAGCCCUUUUGUUGGGAAAGAAAAGCAGCAGGUUAAUACCCCGCUGUUCUGACGGUACCCAAAGAAUAAGCACCGGCUAACUUCGUG
Molecule: ribosomal RNA, 492 nt
Filed under: uncultured bacterium
Lineage: Bacteria
Description: partial 16S ribosomal RNA
Rfam family: Bacterial small subunit ribosomal RNA
Source: RNAcentral